GGGUUGUGAGGUUAAGCGACUAAGCGUACACGGUGGAUGCCCUGGCAGUCAGAGGCGAUGAAGGACGUGCUAAUCUGCGAUAAGCGUCGGUAAGGUGAUAUGAACCGUUAUAACCGGCGAUUUCCGAAUGGGGAAACCCAGUGUGUUUCGACACACUAUCAUUAACUGAAUCCAUAGGUUAAUGAGGCGAACCGGGGGAACUGAAACAUCUAAGUACCCCGAGGAAAAGAAAUCAACCGAGAUUCCCCCAGUAGCGGCGAGCGAACGGGGAGGAGCCCAGAGUCUGAAUCAGUGUGUGUGUUAGUGGAAGCGUCUGGAAAGGCGCGCGAUACAGGGUGACAGCCCCGUACACAAAAAUGCACAUAUUGUGAGCUCGAUGAGUAGGGCGGGACACGUGGUAUCCUGUCUGAAUAUGGGGGGACCAUCCUCCAAGGCUAAAUACUCCUGACUGACCGAUAGUGAACCAGUACCGUGAGGGAAAGGCGAAAAGAACCCCGGCGAGGGGAGUGAAAAAGAACCUGAAACCGUGUACGUACAAGCAGUGGGAGC
RNAcentral lists this ribosomal RNA (549 nucleotides) under Escherichia coli. RNAcentral's name for it is "partial 23S ribosomal RNA". It matches the Rfam family "Bacterial large subunit ribosomal RNA", at positions 1 to 580 of the family's 2925-position model. Lineage: Bacteria; Pseudomonadati; Pseudomonadota; Gammaproteobacteria; Enterobacterales; Enterobacteriaceae. The record is from RNAcentral.